UACGGGAGCACAUCAGCGGCAGACGGGUGAGUAACACGUAGAUGACGUACCCUCAAGACGGGGAUAACGGAUGGAAACAUGCGCUAAUACCGGAUGACCUUACGAUGUCAGAAUGGUAAGGAAAGCUACGGCGCUUGAGGAGCGGUCUGCGGCCCAUCAGCUAGUUGGUAGGGUAAAGGCCUACCAAGGCGAAGACGGGUAGGGGGUGUGAGAGCACGGNCCCCCACAAUGGGACUGAGACACGGCCCAUACUCCUACGGGAGGCAGCAGCAGGGAAUAUUGCACAAUGGACGGAAGUCUGAUGCAGCGACGCCGCGUGAGUGAAGAAGGCCUUCGGGUUGUAAAACUCCUUUGAGGGGGAAGAGCGAGGACGGUACCCCUGGAAUAAGCGUCGGCUAACUACGUGCCAGCAGCCGCGGUAAGACGUAGGACGCGAGCGUUAUCCGGAUUUACUGGGCGUAAAGCGUCUGUAGGCGGAUGUGUAAGUUGGGCGUGAAAGCUCCGGGCUUAACCCGGAGAGGCCGUUCAAUACUGCAUAACUUGAGGGUGUCAGAGGGGAGCGGAAUUCCCGGUGUAGCGGUAAAAUGCGCAGAGAUCGGGAGGAACACCAGUGGCGGAGGCGGUUCCCUGGGGCACACCUGACGCUGAGAGACGAAAGCUAGGGGAGCGAACAGGAUUAGAGACCCUGGUAGUCCUAAGCCCUAAACGAUGAAUGCUAGGUGUGGGAUCGAAUGGUUCCGUGCCGGAGCGAACGCGAUAAG
Molecule: ribosomal RNA, 761 nt
Filed under: uncultured organism
Description: bacterial SSU rRNA
Rfam family: Bacterial small subunit ribosomal RNA
Source: RNAcentral